RNAcentral lists this unclassified non-coding RNA (246 nucleotides) under Schizosaccharomyces pombe (fission yeast). RNAcentral's name for it is "non-coding RNA (predicted)". The record is from RNAcentral. Lineage: Eukaryota; Fungi; Ascomycota; Schizosaccharomycetes; Schizosaccharomycetales; Schizosaccharomycetaceae.
GGACUCAAAAAAAAAGUAAAUUGUGCUUUGUAAGCUGUUAAUUUUAGCAAGGUACCUCUUAAAGUCAUUGCUAAAAGGUCCUAGCAAAGAUGCUUAGCUUUUAAACAUUUUACUCUUCAAGUUAUUCAUCGCAAAGCCAACGUUAACGGCAUCCUGAUUUGUCUACUAUGAAGUUAUAUGAUAGAAGUUUGCUUAUGGAGGAAGCGCGUGGUCCCAAUAGCAUUAUAUAUAUGAGUAUGCAAAACA